This is a long non-coding RNA of Etheostoma cragini (Arkansas darter), 154 nucleotides long. RefSeq lists it as uncharacterized. The record is from RefSeq and is a predicted model, not a curated record. The transcript is spliced from 3 exons. NCBI's taxonomy places the organism in Eukaryota, Metazoa, Chordata, Actinopteri, Perciformes, Percidae.
AAUCAAUCCAUUAGUGCUGGGUUGUCAAACUCAUUUCAGUUCAUGGGCCACGUACCCCUAAUUUGAUCUGAAGUGGGCCAGACCAGUAAACCACUCCAGAAAGAUCCGAAACUUUUUUUUCUGCCACAGAGUUUUUCAACUUGAUGUUGGCAAA